Molecule: non-coding RNA, 29 nt
Filed under: Mus musculus (house mouse)
Lineage: Eukaryota; Metazoa; Chordata; Mammalia; Rodentia; Muridae
Source: RNAcentral
UGUACUCGCUCAAGACCAAAUUUCAAAAG